CCAUGGUGCUCUUCUCCCAUCUUCUAAUUUAAUCAGAAAGAAGCAAUCAGCAAAGCGGGAGCUGUAGAAUCAGAGUCCACCCUUCUCUGCAGCUCAAUCAUGGGGUUGUUGGUGGCUUCACGCUCGCCUUACAACCUUCAUGACACUUGCCACAUGAUCUGCAGGACUGCCCCAUGGUGCUGGUACGGGAGUUCUAGCAUCAAACAAGAUACCACUACCAUGGUUUUCCCUGAGCUUAAUCACUUAUGUCUGCAUGCGGAAAAUAUAGCCUGGUAUACAUAUGUAGUAGAUGGGUACAUAAUUAACUGAGAUACAAGUAUGAAGUGCUGCAGUUGCAACAGAUCUUCAUCAAGUUCCUUCAAAAAUUGCACGAAGCGUCCAAUGUUGCCACCAAGUUCGCCGGAGGAAGAAGCACCGAAUUCGCUGGAGGAACAAGAACAUCGGUCGAGCCGCCCAACGUCGCCUGCAGCGGCUACACCAGAGUGUGUGCGCAUGCUCAACAGGUACUGUCACAACAACUCAAUUUCUUCAGAUGUGGCAUAGGAAGUCAUGUCCUCAUGUGCUACUAUUUCUAGAGCAUGCCGAAGCUGGCGAUGUGUCAUGUCCCACGCGGCAGCCUCCCCGAUCCGCCUCGACACCCACAUCAAGUCCUCUCGGUCUACCUCCUCCGUCAUGUAGCAUGGCUUUGAGCGGCCAGGUGUCCUAGAUUGACAGCAACGGCAGCAUGAGGGUGUGAUAAAAUAAUAAUUAGCAGUAACAUGCACUAAUAUGAGGUUUAGCAUCAGGGGUAACUUUAUGCAACCACACUUAGUAAGUAGCAUUUUCUGUUGCUCUAUGAUUUUUAUGUGGGUAAUGGUGAUCUCUGUACAGACUAUAGAUGAUGUUGAAGUACAUGUCACACUGAAAAAGAACAUGCCAGAGAUAAGGCAAUGGAACCUUCAUGUGGUGCAUACUAGGGACAAGAAAUGCUAUGCUGUAAAAGGUUUUUGAGCAGAGGUACUAGCAGUUGGAUGCUCCAUGCCACCACUUUGGUUAAUUGCUUGUAGUUGGAGGGAAUACUGUUGGGUCGAGAGAGAAUUAUAGCAAAAGAUGAAGAUGUGGGCUCUUCGGUUAGUGCUUGCGAAAGUAAACAGUUGAUCACCAUCGGCGACGGUGAUGAAGAGGGCAAGUGGUAACACAGAUGAUUCGCUAGGGACAAGCUUGAAUUUGGGUUGGUUCUCCCGGUUGCA
Molecule: long non-coding RNA, 1229 nt
Organism: Triticum aestivum (bread wheat)
Lineage: Eukaryota; Viridiplantae; Streptophyta; Magnoliopsida; Poales; Poaceae
Exons: 5
Source: RefSeq, a predicted model, not a curated record